UGGAAAUGCAAGGCUGCAAAGUCCCUAGGUGGAAAGGUCUCAAGGUCUCACACCCCUAUCAGCCAGAUUACCAUUCAUGUGGAGCAUUCAUGUGCAAAGUAGGUGGACAUUGGAGACAUGACUUUGAUCAUUCUCCUGUAAAGGUACUGUUCCUGUAAUAGUGUGUUUUAGACUGGUCCUAGUUACUGCCACAGUGUGAAUUGAAUGCCAAAUUUCAGAUUUAUUUUGUCAGUUUGCAGAGUACCUUCUACGAGGUGAAAACAUGUAUUUCUCUACACAAAUGGAACACCUGGACCAAAUGUUCCCUGAAAUAGCCCUGCACUUGACGUUCUAAUCAUUGACAAAUGCAUUUAAAUAUGCCUCUCUCCACAGAACAUCAACAGACUGUGCAGAGUGUGUGAAAAAAGAACCACACCUGAUGGAACAACAGAAACUAUAUGGCUGCCACCGAUGGUUCCACAUUGCAUGUGUGGCUUGACCUUCAGUGUCCCAUUCUCUAUGUUUUGUAGGUCAGAGUGAGCCGCAACCCAUUGAUGAAGCUGCGGACCAACAUUUGUCGUUUUUGUGGCUGGGGAAGAACAGCAUUUUAAAUGUAUUUUUCAAUUGAUAAGGCCGGGAAGAACAGCAUUUAAAAUGUAUUUCUCAAUUGAUGAGGCUGGGUAUGAACAGCAUUUUUUGUUGUUGUCAUAUGCAAGUGUCUUUUCGAGCAGUUAGAGGUGAUCUACACUGUCUGAGAAAGGGAUACUUCCCCAUGUUGUCUCCAAUGCUUCCCACAGUUGUGUCAAGUUGGCUGGAUGUCCUUUGGGUGGUGGACCAUUCUUGAUACACACGGGAAACUGUUGAGCGUGAAAAACCAAGCAGCGUGGCAGUUCUUGACACAAACCGCUGUGCCUGGCACCUACUACCAUACCCUGUUCAAAGGCACUUAAAUGUUUUGCCCAUUCACCCUCUGAAUAGCACACAUACACAAUCCAUGUCUUAAUUGUCUCAAGGCUCAAAAAUCAUUCUUUAACCUGUCUCUUCUCCUUUAUCUACACUGAUUUGAAGUGGAUUUAACAAGUGACAUCAGUAAGGGAUCAUAGCUUUCACCUUGAUUCACCUGGUCAGUCUAUGUGAUGUUUUAAAUGUUUUGUACACUCAGUGUUUUUGCAUGUCUUAAUAAUAAUAAUAACCGUAUGAUAUAAUAACCACGGCAGCCAGCA
RNAcentral lists this long non-coding RNA (1202 nucleotides) under Salmo salar (Atlantic salmon). RNAcentral's name for it is "lncRNA (ENSSSAG00000107336.1)". Lineage: Eukaryota; Metazoa; Chordata; Actinopteri; Salmoniformes; Salmonidae. The record is from RNAcentral.